Molecule: ribosomal RNA, 254 nt
Filed under: uncultured Aciditerrimonas sp.
Lineage: Bacteria; Bacillati; Actinomycetota; Acidimicrobiia; Acidimicrobiales; Acidimicrobiaceae
Description: partial 16S ribosomal RNA
Rfam family: Bacterial small subunit ribosomal RNA
Source: RNAcentral
UACGUAGGGUGCAAGCGUUGUCCGGAUUUAUUGGGCGUAAAGAGCUCGUAGGCGGUUCGAUAAGUCGGGUGUGAAAUCUCCAGGCUCAACCUGGAGUCGCCACUCGAUACUGUCGUGACUCGAGUCCGGUAGGGGACCAUGGAAUUCCUGGUGUAGCGGUGAAAUGCGCAGAUAUCAGGAGGAACACCAGUAGCGAAGGCGGUGGUCUGGGCCGGUACUGACGCUGAGGAGCGAAAGCGUGGGGAGCGAACAGG